Molecule: small nucleolar RNA, 118 nt
Filed under: Propithecus coquereli (Coquerel's sifaka)
Lineage: Eukaryota; Metazoa; Chordata; Mammalia; Primates; Indriidae
Description: Small nucleolar RNA SNORA3/SNORA45 family (ENSPCOG00000005654.1)
Rfam family: Small nucleolar RNA SNORA3/SNORA45 family
About the family: The members of this family belong to the H/ACA class of snoRNAs which are thought to guide the sites of modification of uridines to pseudouridines. This family includes mouse snoMBI-28 and human homologues ACA3 (SNORA3) and ACA3-2 (SNORA45). Both ACA3 and ACA3-2 share the same host gene.
Source: Rfam by way of RNAcentral
CCUGGGAACUUGUUAGAAAUGCAAAUUCUGUGUGCUAGAGUCCUCAAAGAAUAACGGAUGACCUUAUUCACUGGCUGUGGUCCUCAUGGCACAGUCAGUCACCAGGUUAGUGACAUCU